AUGAACGCUGGCGGCGUGCCUAAUCCAUGCCAGUCGCGCGAACAGACGAGGAGCUUGCUCCUCUGACGUUAGCGGCGGACGGGUGAGUAACACGUGGAUAACCUACCUAUAAGACUGGGAUAACUUCGGGAAACCGGAGCUAAUACCGGAUAAUAUAUUGAACCGCAUGGUUCAAUAGUGAAAGACGGUUUUGCUGUCACUUAUAGAUGGAUCCGCGCCGCAUUAGCUAGUUGGUAAGGUAACGGCUUACCAAGGCGACGAUGCGUAGCCGACCUGAGAGGGUGAUCGGCCACACUGGAACUGAGACACGGUCCAGACUCCUACGGGAGGCAGCAGUAGGGAAUCUUCCGCAAUGGGCGAAAGCUUGACGGAGCAACGCCGCGUGAGUGAUGAAGGUCUUCGGAUCGUAAAACUCUGUUAUUAGGGAAGAACAAAUGUGUAAGUAACUAUGCACGUCUUGACGGUACCUAAUCAGAAAGCCACGGCUAACUACGUG
RNAcentral lists this ribosomal RNA (496 nucleotides) under uncultured bacterium. RNAcentral's name for it is "partial 16S ribosomal RNA". It matches the Rfam family "Bacterial small subunit ribosomal RNA", at positions 29 to 507 of the family's 1533-position model. The record is from RNAcentral.